GAAAUGCGAUAAGUAAUGUGAAUUGCAGAAUUCAGUGAAUCAUCGAAUCUUUGAACGCACCUUGCGCUCCUUGGUAUUCCGAGGAGCAUGCCUGUUUGAGUGUCAUGAAAUCCUCAAACCCAAGUUUUGGAUUUCGGUUCAUGCUUGAGUUUGGAUUUGGACGUUUGCCGGUGAUGAACCGACUCGUCUUAAAUGUAUUAGCUGGAUCUGUCUAUAUGAUUGGUGUGACUUGGCAUAAUAAGUAUUUUGCUGAGGACAUCUUCGGAUGUCCAGGACCUAGACUAUUGUCUGCUAACUAGACCAUCACUUUGAGUGCAUCUUUGGAUGUUACUAAUUGUCUAACUUUGACAUCUGGCCUCAAAUCAGGUAGGACUACCCGCUGAACUUAA
This 389-nucleotide unclassified non-coding RNA is filed under the name uncultured fungus. RNAcentral describes it as "sequence contains ITS1". The stretch from base 1 to 105 matches the Rfam family "5.8S ribosomal RNA", at positions 50 to 154 of the family's 154-position model. The record is from RNAcentral. Lineage: Eukaryota; Fungi.